GCGGAGUAGAGCAGUCUGGUAGCUUGCAAGGCUCAUAAUCUUGAGGUCGCAGGUUCAAAUCCUGUCUCCGC
Molecule: transfer RNA, 71 nt
Filed under: Thalassia hemprichii
Lineage: Eukaryota; Viridiplantae; Streptophyta; Magnoliopsida; Alismatales; Hydrocharitaceae
Description: tRNA-fMet
Rfam family: tRNA
About the family: Transfer RNA (tRNA) molecules are approximately 80 nucleotides in length. Their secondary structure includes four short double-helical elements and three loops (D, anti-codon, and T loops).
Source: RNAcentral